GCCAGAAGGGGUGCGAGGCGGCGGAGGAGGGGACCAGCGGGUUGCCGCCUUGGCUCGCCAGCUUGGCAACGGGAAGGCGGGAGAGGAGCGGCGAGAGAGACCGAGCCGUCCUCCUUCGCAGCCGGCACUGGCUCUACUCGGCCGCCCUCUGCAUUGGCUUCUCCUCCCUUCGCUCCCUCCUCCCCUUCCUCUCUCUCUCUCUCUGCGCUCUGAGGAGAAAGAGAGAGAGAAACCGACACCGCUUUCUUCUUUCCCGCCUCAACUUCUUCAGCAAUCAGCGCCACUCAGUUCCCUUCAGCUCUUUCUUGUCGCCUCCUCAUGGCUAUUUCAGAAAUGGGAAUAAUAAUAAUAAUAAUCCCUCCUCAGAUGACUGUUGGGACUCCCCUGAUACUGCCACCAGGACAACUUUGUCAGUGGUCCUAAUACGGGACGCUUUGUCUGUCUCUGUCUCUGUUUUGUUGUUGUUCCCCAGCCCUCGUCCGGGAGGAGAGUAGGUGCCAAGCCCUGGCGGAGUUUUAUAGCCUUGGCCUGACGUCGGUCCGAGGAAGAGCCCUGGGCGCGAGCGGCCAGGCCAAUGGGAAGCCGAGGAGACAACCCCCUCAUUUGCAUCUCGAGAGGGGCGCGCGAGGAGGAAACUUUCGGCGGAGCUGUCAAUCAAAAAAGGGAAAAAAAAGGGGGGGGAGAGGCCCAAUCAGCUGACUGUCAGCUGGGACCCCGGAGGCGGGUUAACCCUUUCCUGGCUAUUGAGCAAGAGAAAGGAAGGGAAAGGAAGCAGCAUCCACUGGACGUGGCAGCAGGGAUCCCAGGCGCGUGGCUCCAUUGCACUGGAGAGAAACAUCCAAAUCUAGAACGUCAGAAUGGUAAGUAUGAUUUUUUUACAAUUCCUAAACUGGCCUGCAGCCACUAUAAUCUUCUUUUUGACUGCAGUUUCUUGUGCUUUUCUGGCUUUCUUUCCAAACUCAGAAAAAUCUUUCAAAAUCUACCCAGAGCACAAAACUGA
This 1000-nucleotide long non-coding RNA is filed under the name Anolis carolinensis (green anole). Its description in RNAcentral is "lncRNA (ENSACAG00000035232.1)". The record is from RNAcentral. Lineage: Eukaryota; Metazoa; Chordata; Lepidosauria; Squamata; Anolidae.